RNAcentral lists this ribosomal RNA (460 nucleotides) under uncultured bacterium. RNAcentral describes it as "partial 16S ribosomal RNA". It matches the Rfam family "Bacterial small subunit ribosomal RNA", at positions 338 to 795 of the family's 1533-position model. The record is from RNAcentral.
CCUACGGGAGGCAGCAGUGAGGAAUAUUGGUCAAUGGGCGUAAGCCUGAACCAGCCAAGUCGCGUGAGGGAUGAAGGUUCUAUGGAUCGUAAACCUCUUUUAUCAGGGAAUAAAGUGUGGGACGUGUCCUGUUUUGUAUGUACCUUAUGCAUAAGGAUCGGCUAACUCCGUGCCAGCAGCCGCGGUAAUACGGAGGGUCCGAGCGUUAUCCGGGUUUAUUGGGUUUAAAGGGUGCGUAGGCGGCCUUUUAAGUCAGCGGUGAAAGUUUGGGGCUCAACCAUAGAAUUGCCGUUGAAACUGGGAGGCUUGAGUAUGUUUGAGGCAGGCGGAAUGCGUGGUGUAGCGGUGAAAUGCUUAGAUAUCACGCAGAACCCCGAUUGCGAAGGCAGCCUGCCAAGCCAUGACUGACGCUGAUGCACGAAAGCGUGGGGAUCAAACAGGAUUAGAUACCCCUGUAGUC